UCCCUGCAGGUAAGAUAAGGAUACAUAUGGAGCUUCUGCUCUGGAGCAGUGCACUCUUGCCAUGGCCUUUAUGUGGUUUGACAGGUCUUCACAUUUGUUCCUAUUCCUCAGUGUGCCUAGCCCAAACAGGACUAGCCUAUUUGUCGAGAAUUGCUGUAAUACAUUGAUGAAUAUGGAAUAUUUGGGCAUUUUGUAAACUUCAAGGGCUACGCUGUAUCUGAAAUUAUUAGCACCACAUUGGCAUAAAUUGAAGAGUUUCUUGUUUUGCACAGAAUAUGAUAGUGAUUCCAAGAUGGUUAGAGAUUUAUUCAUGACUGUAUGGGGCUGCGGUCUGGGGAAAUCAGCUCUCUAGCAAUUCUUUUUGCCUCAAGAGGUAAAAAGAGGUAUCUCGGGCCAGGUAAGGAAAAGACAGGACAAGAAAUUUCUUGCAGAAGACUGAAAAAUGUGUAACACAAAAAAUCUCCCCCUGCUCCAAUCUGAGGAUGCAGCAAAACGGUUAAUUAUUGAGACAGACCCGCAAAGCCUGAGACAAACAGAAUCAGUGCCUCGGUUUCAAUAAGCACGGCUUUUGUCUUUGGGAUACUGCGCACGCCGGGCCAGGGAACAGCUAAACACAGGGGGAGGCCAUCUCAGCCAGAGCUCCCUUGGCCGUUUCCGAGCCUUUUUCUGAAAGAAAAGACUUCGCCAUGUCGUUUCGGACCAGACGGCGAAGUGCCGCAGAUCCUCCCCCGGGCUGUGCCCCGCGGUGCCCGGGGCCGGGCCGGGCGGGAGGGCAGGAUGCGGCCCCGCCGAGCAUCCCCGCCGGCGGUGCUGCAUGGCUGCUGCCGGGGAGGUGGGGCCAGCCGCUGACCUGCCCGCACCGACACACACAGGAGGGGAAACUGGGAGCGAGCCGCAGGUGUGGAUGGCUGCCUGGCUGGCGUGAAAAGCGGGGCCCGGAGCCACCAUGGAGCACAUCCGGAUGCCCAAGGUGGGUCCUGGCGGCCGGGCAGCGGGAUCAGACAUGCAGGCAGGAUCCGGCCCCUGUGAGGUGGUUUCAUCAUCACCACCAUUAUUAUUAUUAAGCCAUUCUGCUGUUUCAGGGGCUACCCUAGCCCCUGCUCCCCUAGGGGGUGAGCACUGCGAUGUGGGCUGGGGAUUUAUGGGGCUCCUGAGUUGCCUUGUCCAUGCCUCGUGGGUAAGCAGAGAGGGGCACCCUGCCUUUCGUCCACCUUUAGUGUAUCCCAGCAUGUAAGAUCUGGCCGUGAAUUUGUUUAGUUUCUGUAGGCCAACAGUGUAUUCCUUCUACGUCUCCAUCUUCCCAAGCAUAAAGCCUGUAUUUUUUAAAGAUUAUUUUAAAAUUUUCAUCUUGCACCAAAAAAGAAGACACAGUUCUG
This 1376-nucleotide long non-coding RNA is filed under the name Anas platyrhynchos (mallard). RNAcentral describes it as "lncRNA (ENSAPLG00020006653.1)". The record is from RNAcentral. Lineage: Eukaryota; Metazoa; Chordata; Aves; Anseriformes; Anatidae.